AUUUGGUUUGGGACAUCUCGCUAACGAUCAUGAAACUGCUGCUUAUUAUGGUUCUGGUCACUCUGUUGACUGCAGAAUGUGUCGAUGCACAAUCUUGGUCAAGUCCCAUGUUGAUACGUGAAGUAAGAAGUAAAAAGUUGACAAGGCUGACAAGGUCAGGAUUACAUUAUCAGCCGCUGUCGGGUUUGAGCUUGGGUCCACCAGAGUUGUCGAUGAAAAGGCGAGAAGUACAAUACCAUUACAAGCAAUGAUAUGACGCGGAGAUGAUAAUGCGCUCAAUGACAGAACCUUCAUUCUAAUGUGCAGCAAUACAAAAUGAGCAAUAAAAUCUCUCUUCUGAUA
Long non-coding RNA from Haliotis rufescens (red abalone), 342 nucleotides. RefSeq lists it as uncharacterized. The record is from RefSeq and is a predicted model, not a curated record. The transcript has 3 exons. Lineage: Eukaryota; Metazoa; Mollusca; Gastropoda; Lepetellida; Haliotidae.